Long non-coding RNA from Zonotrichia albicollis (white-throated sparrow), 874 nucleotides. The record is from Ensembl. NCBI's taxonomy places the organism in Eukaryota, Metazoa, Chordata, Aves, Passeriformes, Passerellidae.
CAGGGAUGGCACCAGGAGCUGCAGCAGCAGCAGAUUUCUCUCCCUUUUAGCUCCUCACUCUGGAAAAAAAGCUAAAGGAGACCUGGAAUCCCAAAAUUAAGGAGGCAGCUGAGGCUGGAGAGCUCGUGGAGUGAGGAGCAAAACUCCUGGAAGCUUCUGGAAGCAAACCCUGCACACAGCCAGUUGAGUUUGCACUCAGUGUACCAUUUUUAUUUGAUAUAGAUAGAUAUUUUUUAUAUAUUACAUCAUUUAAAAACAGAUUAUAUGUAAAAACACACACUUUUGGUUUGGUUUUCUUGCUUGUUUUUUGCAGGUCAAAGCCACCCCAGCGUGUCCCACACAGUGCAAAGGGACAACUUGUGCAUUUCCCCCUCUUGUCCCCCUGGAAAAACAACUUUUGUGUCCUUGUCCCACCCUUCCAGAGCCACCACCAAGUGUCCCUUAGAGCCCUGGGGACAGCUGGAGCCUGGGGAGGGGACAGAGAGCAGGGACAGGCUCCUGCAUCCAGGAUUUAUCCAGGAAAAAUUCAUUCAGGAGGGAGAGGGUGGGAUCAAACACAGCCCUCAAAUCGGCUCAGUUGGAGUAAAAAGAGGCUCAAAAGGUGUAAAAAGAGGCUCAGGAGGAGAAAAAAAUAAAACUCCUUUGGGUUCUCAGCCUUUUCCCAUGCACCACCCUAAACUCUGGGAUGAAUUCUCCGGGAUGAAUUGUUCCUGGAUAAAUUCUCCUGGAUGGAUCCUCCUGGAUAAAUCCUCCUGGGGGAAUUCCUCCUGUGGCACAGUCCCAGUUCAGCCCUCCCAGUCCCAGUUCAGCAUUCCCAGUUCAGCAUUCCCAGUCCCAGUUCAUCAUUCCCAGUCCCAGUUCAAUCCCAGUUCAG